CUGAGAGGAAGGUCCCCCACAUUGGAACUGAGACACGGUCCAAACUCCUACGGGAGGCAGCAGUGAGGAAUAUUGGUCAAUGGACGAGAGUCUGAACCAGCCAAGUAGCGUGAAGGAUGACUGCCCUAUGGGUUGUAAACUUCUUUUAUACGGGAAUAAAGUGAGCCACGUGUGGCUUUUUGUAUGUACCGUAUGAAUAAGGAUCGGCUAACUCCGUGCCAGCAGCCGCGGUAAUACGGAGGAUCCGAGCGCUAUCCGGAUUUAUUGGGUUUAAAGGGAGCGUAGGCGGGUUGUUAAGUCAGUUGUGAAAGUUUGCGGCUCAACCGUAAAAUUGCAGUUGAUACUGGCGACCUUGAGUGCAACAGAGGUAGGCGGAAUUCGUGGUGUAGCGGUGAAAUGCUUAGAUAUCACGAAGAACUCCGAUUGCGAAGGCAGCUUACUGGAUUGUAACUGACGCUGAUGCUCGAAAGUGUGGGUAUCAAACAGGAUUAGAUACCCUGGUAGUCCACACAGUAAACGAUGAAUACUCGCUGUUGGCGAUAUACGGUCAGCGGCCAAGCGAAAGCAUUAAGUAUUCCACCUGGGGAGUACGCCGGCAACGGUGAAACUCAAAGGAAUUGACGGGGGCCCGC
This 632-nucleotide ribosomal RNA is filed under the name uncultured bacterium. RNAcentral's name for it is "bacterial SSU rRNA". It matches the Rfam family "Bacterial small subunit ribosomal RNA", at positions 292 to 924 of the family's 1533-position model. The record is from RNAcentral.